RNAcentral lists this long non-coding RNA (5138 nucleotides) under Nicotiana tabacum (common tobacco). RNAcentral's name for it is "long non-coding RNA (NTAB_LNC007299)". The stretch from base 3912 to 3985 matches the Rfam family "tRNA". The record is from RNAcentral. Lineage: Eukaryota; Viridiplantae; Streptophyta; Magnoliopsida; Solanales; Solanaceae.
CGAUAUAACAAUAGUGAACAUCAUUACUCGGUGACCAAUGAAGCCAGUUCCUCCUCCUCUUCUAAGAAACAACGGUCACAUUUCUAAUAUUCGUUGGAUUUUAGCUCAAAUACUGGUAUGUACCUCAUGCCUUGUUUUGUUUUUUUUUUAUUUGGUAUUGAAAUUUUGUGUUUUCUCUUUUUAUGUAAUUCUCUCCUUCUAUUAGCUACAAAGUCUUCUUCCAAAAACAAUACUAUAUUUUUUCUUCUCAUUCUUUCUUACUCUUUCCUUUUACGUUUUCUUUCCCCUAUUCGUUGGAUUUUAUGCUCAAAUCAGAUCUUGAAAUCGUGUGAUCUUAAUCCAAUUAUUUCCUAAAAGUACUCGAUAUUCAAGAAUUUGAACAUGAAAAUUUGUCACCUCUAAAGUGAAAAGAUAAUACUACAGAUUGAGGGAAAUGGAGAUGAAGUAACAAAUAGCCCACUGUUUAAAUUAUGGAUGCCAUAAAGUUAAUCAUCCAUGUUGAAAAGAUGUCAAAAGUGCAGGCAACCCAUUUUCAACUCUUGAAUGUUAGCUUUCUAUGCUAAAUUCAAAUUUGUAUUUUCGACUUGUUCAUUUAUGAUGCUUCUUUUUACAAUUUAAUUGGCUCUCAAUGAAAUAAACUAUUUUGUAUCUUUAAUUAGUUAUCCUUUUCAGUUGAUAUCAGUAAAGGCACGCUUAAAGAUCGCUUAAGUCCCGAAGUGAGGCGCAAAACAUGUUGAGCGCUUCGCCUCGCUUAGAUGGCUCUUCAGUGUCGUCAUCAAGGCUCUAAGGUAUAUUUUUCCUUGACAAUGAGCGUAACCCUGAAGAGGCUACACCAAAUAAUUAAUAUUUCACUUAUCGUAAUUCUUUUUUUCCAAUUUCUGUGUCCAUAUAUUUGUUAUUCAUGCGUAUAAUUAUUAAUGUUGGACUGCACCUACAUAUUUGUGUUUUUUUCUCCGUUUGUGCCUUUCUUCAAUAUAAAGCCCCCGCUUUAUUUGCGCUUAAACCCCAACGGACCUUAGAGCUCUUUUACACUUUUCGCAUUUGAUAACACUGGUUGAUAUAUCAUGUUUCAUUCGAGAAGAUGAAUAGUUUAAUUCUUAUUUCCUUUAUUCACACUGGUUAAUCGGAAUCUUUAAUAAGGACAUGUACCUAAACUUCUUUGGCUCUCUGAUUGUUACAUUUGGGGAGAUCUUAGGCUUACUCUGAUUGUUAUAUUAGGGAAAAAUCUCUGAUUUAACUUUUAAAUACAAAUAUCUCUCUUGUUAUGGUAGGGAGGUCGAAACAAUUGACGCAGCACAGCGUGAGACAAUGGAGAAAGCUGAGUAUGAGAUGAAGUUGAGGUUUGUUCUCCCUUAUGAUCUCUCUGUUCUUUUAUGGUUGUUUAAGGAAAAAGUGAAAAUAAGCAACGAUAAUAUAUUUACCACAAGUAAAUACUCUUUGAUUAAUAUUUACAAUGACGGCUUUGUGGUAGAGUUAAAGGCGCACGAGCUUUCAAAUUUCUUGCAAAAUAUUGAGUGUUAUACCAAAUUUAUUAUACCAAAUGUUACUUAGAAGCCUUUUCCUUUCAAGACUGUGUGCAGUAAUUCAUCUAAUACAAUUUAAGUCAAGUAGCUUAAGAACAAUUUUAAAUCUUUUUAGUCUUUUCCAGUGUACCAUAAAAAUAAAAAAAAUCAUACAAUAUGUGUUUGUUCGCGUGACAAUAUCCAUUUCUCCUUUUUAACUUUUAAAUUCACAAUUCCCGUAACAAUAAUACUUUUUUCGUUGCACCAUUAACAAUAUCGAUUUAAUGGAAUAACUAAUGUCAUGUUUUCAUAACAUUUUCUACCAACACAUGGUGGAAUUUACUCAAAAUCUAUAUAAAUGUUUUUGAUUACACUACAAAUAACAUAUUUCAAUUUCGAAUCUGAUCGUAUUUUGGUUUAAGAAAUCAAAAUAAAUCACUUGGAACCCAUAUAAAAUAAAUCUAAAUUGGAAAAUUUUAAAAGUUAGGACUAUUAUAUUGAAACACGUGUGAAUUUUCAUUACCUCACAAAACUACUAGAAAGAGAGUAAUUUUCCUUUAUUUCUUCUUAUUGUUAGCACGACAACAGGAAAAUCAGUGUUAUCAAAAGGCGAAAAACGCAAAAAAUAUCUAAGGUUUAUUGGGACUUUAAGCGCAAAACACAAAUAAAGCGUGAGCUCUAAUGAAGAAAGCCUUAAAUGGAGAAAAAUGACAAAUAUGUAUGUGUAGUCCAAAACUAAUAUCUAUAACCAUGAAUAUCAAAUAUAUGAACAAAGAAAUUGAAGAAGAUUUAUGAUAAAUUGAAAUAACAAUUGUUUAGUAUCGUCUCUUCAGGAUUAUUCUCAUUGGCAAGGAUAAGUAUGCCUUAAAGCCUUGAUGACAAUAAUUAAGUGUCCGCUACGCGAGGUGAAGCGCUCAACAUAUUUUGUGUUGGGAAUAAACCCCGUAAAAAUAGUAUUCACGGUAUUAGUGAUAAGCGCAAAACACUAAGUUAUGGUUAAAUCAGCAAGAAUAGAAAUGCAGCAAUAAUGACACCAAGAUUUUACGUGGAAACCCUUUUGAAUAAGGGAAAAACCACGGCCAAGAAGAGCAACUGUUAUCACUAUAGCGAGGAAUUUUACACUGUGUAGUAACGAGUAAAAAUACUCCUAAGACCACUACACCCUCAAAAGAAAUAAACACUCUUUUGCUUUUUCCACCUCACUACAAUAUCUCUCACACUCUAUUUUUCUUCACAAACUAUUUUCUUAUAGUUUAUGGAAUACUUUGCUCUCUCUUUUCUCUCUUUGUUGGUGUUUAGAAAUGAGAGUUAAGGCUCUCCUUUUAUAGCCAAAACAUCACUCUCUAAAGCCUACAAUAUUUGACAAUUUACACACCCUUUUUACAAUUUCAACAAAGUUGGCUACCAAACCAAACCAAGUCAAUAAAAUUGGCUACCAAAUUAUACUAAUUCAACAAGGUUGGCUACCAAAUUAUACUAAUUCAACAAGGUUGGCUACCAAACCAAACCAAGUCAACAAAAUUGGCUACCAACAUUUGAAUGAGAUGGACACCAUAUCAUUUUGAACCUCGCUUUAGGGCUUAAGCGCGCCUUUGAUAACACUAAGAAAAACAAGGAUGGGUUUUUGCAAUGUAGACCAUGAACAACUCCCUAUAAUGGAGGUGCUUGAAUGUGCACCAUCUUCUAUUUCCACCCAUAUUUCUACUCCCAUUCAUGAUAAUUCUUUACUUAUCUGAAAGGUGUCUCACAGAUACCUAUUCUUAAACCAGUCCGCCAAAAUUGCAGUGUUCGUGAUGAAGGAGAUAUGUUUCUCUGCAAUUUGAGAAAAUGCCUAAAUUACAAACAGAACAUGAGUAAGCUUCAUCUAUGUGACAUUCAAAUAUGACCUUAUGCCAAGUUCAACUGCUUUUUUGAAAAUUCAACUUCUGGCUAAGAGAUAAAAACAGAUUUUGAGUAUCCUUGUCUCACUCCUAAACUGAUAAACGUACAGAGACCUGAUCCGAGCUGUUUUUCCAUUUGCAAUGUUAUCUAAAUAUGUAGGGAAAACCGUUCCAUGGUGGUUGUAUUUCAUCAGUUAAUUUUACUGGGGUUCGAUAGGGAGAUUCUUUGACGCAUAGUAGCUGCAAGAAAACUCGUGCUGUUUCAUUUUUGACUAACAGAGUGAAGAUGAAACACUUUUGAAUAUGUCUGUGUACAUGCAAAAGAAAAUUCAGGCUGUAGUCAAAUUUACAUAAAGAAGGGAGAAUUAUUUCAAAGUGGUUCAUGCAGCUCAGCUAAACUAAAAUUCAAAAGGAAACUCAGGUCGCAGCCAAAAUACAUAAAGAAAGGAGACUUUUUUCAAAUGGUUUAGGUAGCUCAAUUAGACUGAAAAAUCAUUGUGUGGUUUGAAUUCACAGGAAAGAAAGAGAAUGCGAGGUAGAGGAAUUGGUCAACUCAUCAGGCUAUCGACCUAAAAAUUACAAGUUCGAAUUCUGUCCCCGCCUAAUCGGUGAAACAUUGUUCACUAGGAUAAAAGGCAGGUAAUGCUAAUUGACAAAGUGACAUUAAGCAUCCCUAGCGGUACAAAAAGAGGGGUCGUGAUAAUAUCAUUUACGUCUGCACUGCUCUUCGUUGAGUAGAUUCGAUAAAGACUUGACUCGCUCCUAGCCACUCCGGGGCAUCAUAGCGUAUCAGGACGUACUCGAUGUGACCACUCCCUUGGGCUUGCCGCCCUGCUCUUCAAGUUUUGACUUGCAAGCAUAUGUUAGAAUUUGGUGCAGGGAGUGAGGGAGUGUGGGUUGUCUGAAGUGAGGUGCUCCACAAACCUUUUGGUGUACAUAUUACAGUAGUUGAUUCUUCUAAGUAAGUUAAUAUCCAGGCAUCUAUAGAAUUCCUAGAAAUUGGAGAAUGUGUUCAUCUCUUCUGCCUUUGUAUGACUUAACUGACUGAUCACUAGCACCCUUUUUAAAAAACUUCUCCUGUUUUAAAUUAGCUUUACUGUGGAUUUGUCUGCAGUUGCAAUCACUUAAUGCCCUUUCACUAUUGGAGAUGACUGAUAACUAGGGAUUUUGAUGCAUUUUAUACUCCUUCUUGCUUAAGUUUUGAUUAAAAAUGUGUACAAAAUAGUCUCAAAGGCUCACAAGUUGUGCUUGAUUGCAGGUUUGAUCAACAAGGUGACAAAAUGUCAAAGAUCAGCUCAAAAAGGAGUGAAACUUGCACAAGUAUCAAGACAAGAUAAAGCUCAGGCAAAAUAGGGCCAGUGCGGCCGCACACCAUUCUGUGCGGUCCGCACAAGUGAGGUUCAAAGAGUAUGCAACUCAGGCAAAACAGGCAAUGCGACCGCAUGGGAUUUACUGCGGUCCGCAGUGGAGUCACUGCGGCCGCACACGAUUUAGUGCGGUCCGCAAAGCCAAGGAUCAGAGAAGUGCCAAUUUGGAGAUUGAAGCUCAAUGCGGUCCGCGCUCCAUUUCAUGCGGACCGCACUAAAAGCCACCGCAGCCGCACUCGAUUCUGUGUGGUCCGCAUUGCCCGAGUUUAGAGAGCUGGAUUUUAAGUCAAGAUCCUUAGUGCGGUCGCACGUGAUUUUGUACGGUCCGCACUAGCCCCGCAGGGGUAUUUUUGUCCAGAUUUUUUAACUUAGUAUAAAUAGUUUCUUUU